Zingiber officinale is the source of this 1910-nucleotide RNA transcript. NCBI's taxonomy places the organism in Eukaryota, Viridiplantae, Streptophyta, Magnoliopsida, Zingiberales, Zingiberaceae. The record is from RefSeq and is a predicted model, not a curated record.
GGUACUGUCUUUCAUCCGUAGAUCACUCCGAUACCUCGCUCGUCGGACCUCUGCAAUCUCACCGUCUGCUGAAAUUGACACACACAACGCCGCUACGGUGGCGGAGGAUUCUUCAUGCGUGCGCCGCUCACGGUGGUGGUGACGCUCCGCCGCCUCCGGGACCACCUCUCCGCUGACCUCCGCCCAUCCCCGCCCUUCCCCUUCUUACCUUUCUCCUCCUCAUCCGGUUGCAUCGGCGCACCUCAUGCUUCCUGCCUCUCUUCCCUCGUUCCGGUUUCAUUGGCGAGAAAACGAAUCGCAAUAGGCCACGGGUCAUGCUUUCAGUUUCCUCUUUGCUUUCCCGCCGCCCGGCACCGUUGUCUUUAGGCCCUUUCUUGUGAAGUAUUUUGCUAGGGAGUACUCAUCGUCCGCGAGGCUUCCUGCAAGUGGCACUUCUGCUUCUUUGGCAUCUCGCGUUCGCAGCAAUUCAUCCCUCCCCUCUUGCCGGCCCGGCUGCACCAACAGACCACACUAAAUGUAGUUAUAUCUACAAUAGGGCAAGGGAUUAACUCCCGACAAGUACAUGCCCUUGGGAAAAAAAACUCUCCCAUCCCUAGUCAACUUGCCGAUCGGCUAUAAGCUGACCCGUGAUUUACUUCCCUUCACAUAACCUGGGACGGACUAUGAGGAACACUUAGGGUGAGCGUACUCACCUUUUUUGCUACAAUCAAUCAGCAAGCAGUUAGUGCAGCAUUGUGGUGCAACUUCCUUGUCUUCUCUCUCAAGUUUGGAAUGUGGCUGACAACUUCAAGCCAUGUUAUGUUAACUGAAGUUGUGCACUCAGCUGCAGACCUUGCUAAUCAGGUUUGGGCGCAAAGGGUUGUGCAUGGGAUGCAGAACCUAUGGAAAGCUCAUCCUCCUGAAAAUAUGCACUAUGCUGCCUUAGUGAUUUGUGGAUCCUUCCUCGUAGAAUGUGCUUGGCUGCUUGUUGCUAUUAAUGCUGUUAAGAAAGGUGCAGCUGCAGAAGGAAUGAAAUUGUGGGACUAUGUUUGGCACGGCCAUGAUCCAACAUCUGUUGCUGUUAUGACAGAGGAUGGUGCUCCGGUUACUGGUAUUGCAAUUGCUGCAGCAUCACUAGUUGCUCUUUAAGACAGGAAAUCCAAUAUAUGACCCAAUCGGUUCUAUCAUAGUUGAAAAUCUGCUUGGAAUGGUUUUAUUAUAAGUUCUUUUGAAACAGAUCAAUAGUUUUAACAUGAGAGGCUGCUAUGUUCCACUUGGAUAAUUAAUACAGUUCAGCUGAUGCUAUGUUCUGGUAUUUUAGGUUGCUGUAUUUUUAAUCCAAAGGUAUAAGCAUGCAUUAAUUGGUAGAGCAAUUGAUGAUCAUGACAUAGAAAAAAGUAUUAAGGUUUCUUAAAGCUGAUUCUUAUACAUACAGUACCUAACAUGUUUAAUCACGAGGCUUCUCUAACAUGUUGUGUGUAUAUUUAUAUCUUUUACAGGUUGUAGAUUUUCGCUAUGAUUGCAACAGUGAGGUGAUUGGUCAAAGCAGAAAUAGUUUCGGGAAGCAAAGUCUCAAGACGACAAUGCACUUCUAAAUGUUAUGGCUGCUUAUGGCGAGGAUGUUGUUGAAGCGUUUGGCAGUGAAGCUGAUAGGUUUGAAUCAGAGAUUCAGAAGAUUGUUCCUGGUAGUAGACAAGUUGAUAUGGAGCCACAUAAUCCUGAAGCAGUUCUCUCGGUUCCACAAGUCGACCAUCAUGAGCUUAUGCUUUUUUUUCUUUUUCUUUUUGCUAUAUUUCAUGACAAAUCUAACUCUUUAUGUGAGAAUUUAAAACUUCAUUUCUUUAGAGGUCAUGUUUUGGCCUUUAGCUGUGUAAAUUUAUCACACAUUCUUUAUGGGAGGAAAAAGAAAAAUUCAUGACUUUUCGCAUAUU